UGCAUACAAAUAAGCGGAGGAAAAGAAACCAACAGGGAUUGCCUCAGUAGCGGCGAGUGAAGCGGCAAAAGCUCAAAUUUGAAAUCUGGCGUCUUUGGCGUCCGAGUUGUAAUUUGAAGAAGGUAUCUUUGGGCCCGGCUCUUGUCUAUGUUCCUUGGAACAGGACGUCACAGAGGGUGAGAAUCCCGUGCGAUGAGAUGGCCCGGGUCUAUGUAAAGUUCCUUCGACGAGUCGAGUUGUUUGGGAAUGCAGCUCUAAGUGGGUGGUAAAUUCCAUCUAAAGCUAAAUAUUGGCGAGAGACCGAUAGCGAACAAGUACAGUGAUGGAAAGAUGAAAAGAACUUUGAAAAGAGAGUGAAAAAGUACGUGAAAUUGUUGAAAGGGAAGGGCUUGAGAUCAGACUUGGUAUUUUGCAAGUUACUCUUUCGGGGGUGGCCUCUGCGGUUUACCGGGCCAGCAUCGGUUUGGAGCGGUAGGAUAAUGGCGGGGGAAUGUGGCACGACUUUGGUUGUGUGUUAUAGCCUCUGACGAUACUGCCAGCCUAGACCGAGGACUGCGGUUUUUACCUAGGAUGUUGGCAUAAUGAUCUUAAGUCGCCCGUCUUGAACCAACGGGACC
RNAcentral lists this ribosomal RNA (617 nucleotides) under Candida dubliniensis. RNAcentral describes it as "eukaryotic LSU rRNA". It matches the Rfam family "Eukaryotic large subunit ribosomal RNA", at positions 37 to 664 of the family's 3401-position model. Lineage: Eukaryota; Fungi; Ascomycota; Pichiomycetes; Serinales; Debaryomycetaceae. The record is from RNAcentral.